GAUGAAGAACGCAGCAAAAUGCGAUAAGUAAUGUGAAUUGCAGAAUUCAGUGAAUCAUCGAAUCUUUGAACGCACAUUGCGCCCGCCAGUAUUCUGGCGGGCAUGCCUGAUCGAGCGUCAUUUCAACCCUCAAGCACAGCUUGGUGUUGGGACUCGCGUUAAUUCGCGUUCCCCAAAUUGAUUGGCGGUCACGUCGAGCUUCCAUAGCGUAGUAGUAAAACCCUCGUUACUGGUAAUCGUCGCGGCCACGCCGUUAAACCCCAACUUCUGAAUGUUGACCUCGGAUCAGGUAGGAAUACCCGCUGAACUUAAGCAUAUCAAUAAGCGGAGGA
Molecule: unclassified non-coding RNA, 332 nt
Filed under: soil metagenome
Description: partial contains 5.8S ribosomal RNA, internal transcribed spacer 2, and large subunit ribosomal RNA
Rfam family: 5.8S ribosomal RNA (bases 1-120)
Source: RNAcentral